GAUGAAGAACGUAGCGAAAUGCGAUAAGUAAUGUGUAUUGCAGAAUUCAGUGAAUCAUCGAAUCUUUGAACGCACAUUGCGCCCCCUGGUAUUCCGGGGGGCAUGCCUGUUCGAGCGUCAUUUCACCACUCAAGCCUCGCUUGGUAUUGGGCAACGCGGUCCGCCGCGUGCCUCAAAUCGUCCGGCUGGGUCUUCUGUCCCCUAAGCGUUGUGGAAACUAUUCGCUAAAGGGUGUUCGGGAGGCUACGCCGUAAAACAACCCCAUUUCUAAGGUUGACCUCGGAUCAGGUAGGGAUACCCGCUGAACUUAAGCAUAUCAAUAAGCGGAGGA
Molecule: unclassified non-coding RNA, 331 nt
Filed under: soil metagenome
Description: partial contains 5.8S ribosomal RNA, internal transcribed spacer 2, and large subunit ribosomal RNA
Rfam family: 5.8S ribosomal RNA (bases 1-120)
Source: RNAcentral